RNAcentral lists this long non-coding RNA (360 nucleotides) under Lathyrus oleraceus (garden pea). RNAcentral's name for it is "Pisum sativum (pea) long non-coding RNA (PSAT_LNC027581)". Lineage: Eukaryota; Viridiplantae; Streptophyta; Magnoliopsida; Fabales; Fabaceae. The record is from RNAcentral.
AUAUUCUAAUAUAAUAUUUCAACUUAUCUACUUACCAUUCCAACUCAUAUUGCUCUUAUCUCUAAUAUCUCCCAUACAAAAGACCAACUGGAAAACAUAACCUAAAUUAAGCAGUGAUAUAACAGAUACUAGAGGCUAUUCUUGACUAUACAAACCAUGUCUAACUCGGUAGCUUAAGAAGUGAUACAUAUGUAACUUGUUCUUGUUAUAAAAACACCAACAAAGAGUCACAUUUCCUUCCAUUUUAACACUAACUCGGCAGCAAAUCUGCAAAAUAAUGGGUAAACUCCAAACCUGACAACAAAUCAAAACUGUUUAUAUUAAACUGCAAAAAAAACUACACAUGUUUGACUACAGUUC